AACGUAGGAGACAAACGUUAUCCGGAGUUACUGGGCGUAAAGGGCGUGUAGGUGGUUUCGUAAGUCUGGCGUGAAAUUUUUCGGCUUAACCGGGAAAGGUCGUCGGAUACUGCGGAACUAGAGGACGGUAGAGGCGUGUGGAAUUCCGGGUGUAGUGGUGAAAUGCGUAGAUAUCGGGAGGAACACCGGUGGCGAAGGCGGCCUUCUGGACGGAUACUGACGCUGAGACGCGAAAGCGUGGGGAGCAAACAGG
Molecule: ribosomal RNA, 253 nt
Filed under: uncultured bacterium
Lineage: Bacteria
Description: partial 16S ribosomal RNA
Rfam family: Bacterial small subunit ribosomal RNA
Source: RNAcentral